UUGAAACACCAGUUUCCAUACAAUCACCAAAGUUAAGCAACAUCAAGCCUGAUCUGUACCUAGAUGGGUGACCACUUGGGAAUACUAGAUGCUA
This is a non-coding RNA of Acanthosepion pharaonis, 94 nucleotides long. Lineage: Eukaryota; Metazoa; Mollusca; Cephalopoda; Sepiida; Sepiidae. The record is from the annotation of a GenBank genome assembly.